This 497-nucleotide ribosomal RNA is filed under the name uncultured bacterium. RNAcentral's name for it is "partial 16S ribosomal RNA". It matches the Rfam family "Bacterial small subunit ribosomal RNA", at positions 28 to 507 of the family's 1533-position model. The record is from RNAcentral.
GAUGAACGCUGGCGGCGUGCCUAAUACAUGCAAGUCGAGCGAACGGACGAGAAGCUUGCUUCUCUGAUGUUAGCGGCGGACGGGUGAGUAACGCGUGGAUAACCUACCUAUAAGACUGGGAUAACUUCGGGAAACAGGAGCUAAUACCGGAUAAUAUUUUGAACCGCAUGGAUCAAAAGUGAAAGACGGUCUUGCUGUCACUUAUAGAUGGAUCCGCGCUGCAUUAGCUAGUGGGUAAGGUAACGGCUUACCAAGGCAACGAUGCAUAGCCGACCUGAGAGGAUGAUCGGCCACACUGGAACUGAGACACGGUCCAGACUCCUACGGGAGGCAGCAGUGGGGAAUCUUCCACAAUGGGCGAAAGCCUGACGCAGCAACGCCGCGUGAGUGAUGAAGGUCUUCGGAUUGUAAAGCUCUUUUAUUAGGGAAGAACAUAUGUGUAUUUAACUGUGCACAUCUUGACGGUACCUAAUCAGAAAGCCACGGCUAACUUCGUG